Molecule: long non-coding RNA, 2654 nt
Organism: Tyto alba (common barn owl)
Lineage: Eukaryota; Metazoa; Chordata; Aves; Strigiformes; Tytonidae
Exons: 6
Source: RefSeq, a predicted model, not a curated record
CCGCCCAAGGGCUGCACGGCGGUGCCCGGCGCGGCCCUCGGCGGGGGGGUGCAGCGCCGUGUGAAUCGAACCUCUUCCCGGGAAUUGGUUACCGGGCCUUUUCAUGUAUUUUGUAGAUUCCAAAGACAUCUUGCGGACUUCCGUGUAUAAAAGUAGUACCUGAAGUGGCAGAUACAUAAAUCGGGGAAACAACAGAACCUCUCUUCUCAUGGGUGCCACACAGACUGAUCAUCACAGAGGUGCGAGUCCAAGUGUAGUGAAGGCAUUUCUUACUCUUCAGAUGGCUGAAAGAGUGACUCCAAUGAAAGAUGCAAAGCUCAAAACCCUACACUGCGCUUCAGUAACUCCAGGGUUUCUUGCUAAUCUGAAGCUGUGAUCCUCGAGGACUGAAAUGCUGAAGAUCAAAGUGGGUGAUUACAGUGCACCUUCUGGCUUUCAGAUAUGUUACUUGCUUGUAUUACAACACCAUCAAGACAAAACCCACUGUGCCAGGCCCAGUAAAAAACACAUGAUAAGAGCCAGUCUUUGCCCCUGGAGAACUCAUCACGUAAAUAAAUAUAUUCAUUUUGUAUUGUAGAAGUCAGCAGAGAAUUCCCCUGAGGCUAAGCACAAAAUAGUCUAAAAUGCAAUUAUUGAGAAUUGUUAAAUAAAACAGCACUGGAUGAAUGUGAAGUGUCACUGUGAUUCAGGGAUUUCCUGAUUUCCUGGAUUUGCAUUUGUGCCCAUUGCCUUUUGUCCUCUCAUUGGGCACCACUGAGAAGAAUUUGACUCCAUAUUCUUUGCUCUCCACCACCAGAUAUCUACAAAUGUUGAAGGUAGUGCUGCCCAUCUGCAACCCUUUGCAAAACACUGAAUAUACCUUUUCAUCUGCAUUUCCAGUAUAGUUCAUCACAUUGUGGGAGAGAUUACACUAAAUAUAUUAUGAAGACCAAACCAUUAACCAAACGUCACUCAGAUGUGUCAGUGAACAAAGGGUAGAAUCCAGAGAUGAUGUGUUUAAUAGACUUUGAGCUUUCAAGUCAAUAGUUACGCUGAUUCUUCCAUCCAUCAAUAUGAACAAAUGCUGUAUUUCCAAACAAAGCUUAGAUCUGACAGCUCAAUAUUUGUAUGUGAUCAGAAUUGUAAUUAUUUCAAUUUGAAUGUUAAUUAAUUUAUUUGUUAACUGCCUCUUGGGUUUGUGCUCCAUCUGGCCUGGUUUCAUGUCUCUUGAUAGUAUUUAUUUGCGGUCUGAUGAUGAACACAAGGUGUGUUUAUAUACUUUGACAUAAUACCACUUAAUGGCAGAAGAUGUUAUUCUUCAGAAUUCCUGAGGCAGACUGCCAGGUAUUUAAUUGUCAAUCUAUUAAUUCCAUCAUCUGAAUCUGCAUGUCUGUUAUCCUUUGCAUAUACAACAAAAAUCUGAGUUAAGAAAGUUUCCUAUGUAUACUAGCACACAUAAUUUUUUAAAAACAUCACGGGUCAGACUCAAAUUAUUACAUUAUACUGUUUCCACAGCCAUUUAAAGAAAGCAAGGCGUAAGUGUAUUAGUUUAAAUAGGUAAAGUUCAGUGCAAAGGUAAUGGACUUCUGAGAGGAACAACCUAAACUACUCACACAUGACUGACUUCUAAAUUAAUGACAAGCACGCAGGAGAAGUUCUGGAUUCCUUGUGGACAGCUUAAUAGAAACAUCUGCUCAGGCACAGCACUGGCAAAAUAACUAAACAAACGAUCAUUCAAGCCAGCUCUCCACCUUUCUGAAGUUGCGGAAUUGAGGUGGGAUUCAGCUCAUUAACCUCAGCAAUUUAAAAGUUAGAAAUCUAGUGUAAAGUAGUUACUGAAGCUCUUUCUGUGGUCAAUGAAGGGAGACUAACCUCUGCAGGACAAUCCAGCUAGCUAAAGUAUGUCUGAAGUAAGUGGAAUUAAGUGCCCUUUUGAGGUGUCAUUUUUUCCACCAGCUGUAGAAAGGCAAAGCAGUAGCUUUACAUUAGAGGCCUACCUUUUAAAUAGAUAAAGCUGUGGAGGAUGUUACCAUCUCCGUGCCUUGCUCUCAGACCUUAACAUUGCAUUUAUUUUGCUGAAAAAUUAUGGGGCUUGGAUGAUAAGGUUCUCGUCAGGUACAAACGGGUCAGAGCAUGGUCUCCACACGGCUGUUACAGACUCUGCACUUAGAAGACUUUCCAUGCUGGGAAUUGUAGCCGUCUUCAGAAACUGUAUGAGUCAAUACUUUGUUGUUGUUAACCCCAUCAGCUUGCACUCUCCUGGCUGAGAGGCUCAUGGCAGCUGUAUGCCAGCACCACUUUCCUCUGACAGUUGGCAUUCCUGUUUCCUCCACAUUUUCAUAGUUUAAUCAGUGGAAAACCUGGGGUCUGACUUGUAUUUAAGCUGUUGAGUUUAUUAUUUAGGAUAGUCAUGUUCCUAACUCGUCAUCUGAUUUGAUGGAUUAACCUAGUAGUAAUUCACAGGUACAGUAUACAAUUUAAUAAACAGGGGAGAAGAUUGCUGUUAGUGUAAGGCUAUUUUAACAGGGAAACUUCCUGUCACAAAAUUUACUAUAAAAUUAAUAAUUAUAUCUACUAAUAAUACUUUUUUCCCUUUUUAAAAUUGGGGGUCAUGUUUCCUCUGACUAGAAAAGAGAAAACACAACCCCCAUUUUUAAAAAGGGAAAAAAGGAAGA